RNAcentral lists this microRNA precursor (75 nucleotides) under Chlorocebus sabaeus (green monkey). RNAcentral describes it as "miRNA (ENSCSAG00000023950.1)". Lineage: Eukaryota; Metazoa; Chordata; Mammalia; Primates; Cercopithecidae. The record is from RNAcentral.
GCCCACCUCAGCCUCCCAAAAUGCUGGGAUUACAGGCAUGAGCCAUUGCGCCUGGCCUGUGCUGAACAUUUUUAU